Pelobates cultripes (western spadefoot toad) is the source of this 201-nucleotide non-coding RNA. The record is from the annotation of a GenBank genome assembly. NCBI's taxonomy places the organism in Eukaryota, Metazoa, Chordata, Amphibia, Anura, Pelobatidae.
CCUACCCACAUAAAUGAGCUGUCAUUGGUUGGGAGGUUUUAAUUUACUUAAUUUGUUUACACAACAGUAAUAAGGUGAACUAGUUCAGAAAGGAAACACAAUUUCGAGAAAAGCAUUCAGUAACAUUUUGCCUAUGUUUCAACCUGUCAAAAAAAGAACUCACGACUUGUAGGAAACUUCAUUUACUAUUGCACCUCAGAG